Dreissena polymorpha is the source of this 549-nucleotide long non-coding RNA. RefSeq lists it as uncharacterized. The transcript is spliced from 3 exons. Lineage: Eukaryota; Metazoa; Mollusca; Bivalvia; Myida; Dreissenidae. The record is from RefSeq and is a predicted model, not a curated record.
UAAAAUUCUGAAUGGAUUGUACACUCUACUGAACACAAAGAACACCUCGUACGGAUCGCUGGCAGAAGUGACAUGUCAUACUGGAUAUGAGUCAAAUGUUAGCCAGAUAAUGUGCCAAGCAAAUGCUACGUGGCAAGCAGCAAUUUGCAACCUAAAAGACUGUGGUUCCAUUCCCACAAUUCUACAUGGAGUUUACACUCUUUCGUACACAACAAGCACCACGUACGGAUCGCAAGCAAAUGUGACAUGUAAUGCUGGAUAUGAAUCGAACGUUAGCCAGAUUAUGUGUCAGGCAAAUGCGAUUUGGGAGACAGCAUACUGCGCUUUAAGAGUUUCAGGUUACGAGCAUAUCGGCUGUUUCUCAGCAUACCGGAUUGAAAGCCUUUCUGACGCAAAAUCAUUCGACGCGUGUUUAAAUAACUGCAGAAAUUUCAGCUAUGCCUUGAUCAUAGUAACUUGUAGCUUUAACAUUUUUCAACAUGACGCUUCUUUUUAUAUCAUAAAUUAUUAAAAGGAUUUUAAGAAAGUAUUGGAUUCAUCUACAUUACU